ACUCCUACGGGAGGCAGCAGUGGGGGAAUCUUGGACAAUGGGGGCAACCCUGAUCCAGCCAUGCCGCGUGAGUGAUGAAGGCCUUAGGGUCGUAAAGCUCUUUCGCCUGUGAAGAUAAUGACGGUAGCAGGUAAAGAAACCCCGGCUAACUCCGUGCCAGCAGCCGCGGUAAUACGGAGGGGGUUAGCGUUGUUCGGAAUUACUGGGGCGUAAAGCGCACGUAGGCGGAUCGGAAAGUUGGGGGUGAAAUCCCCGGGGCUCAACCCCGGAACUGCCUCCAAAACUAUCGGUCUAGAGUUCGAGAGAGGUGAGUGGAAUUCCGAGUGUAGAGGUGAAAUUCGUAGAUAUUCGGAGGAACACCAGUGGCGAAGGCGGCUCACUGGCUCGAUACUGACGCUGAGGUGCGAAAGUGUGGGGAGCAAACAGGAUUAGAUACCCUGGUAGGAUAGCG
Molecule: ribosomal RNA, 451 nt
Filed under: uncultured bacterium
Lineage: Bacteria
Description: bacterial SSU rRNA
Rfam family: Bacterial small subunit ribosomal RNA
Source: RNAcentral